This 497-nucleotide ribosomal RNA is filed under the name uncultured bacterium. RNAcentral describes it as "partial 16S ribosomal RNA". It matches the Rfam family "Bacterial small subunit ribosomal RNA", at positions 28 to 507 of the family's 1533-position model. The record is from RNAcentral.
GAUGAACGCUGGCGGCGUGCCUAAUACAUGCAAGUCGAGCGAACGGACGAGAAGCUUGCUUCUCUGAUGUUAGCGGCGGACGGGUGAGUAACACGUGGAUAACCUACCUAUAAGACUGGGAUAACUUCGGGAAACCGGAGCUAAUACCGGAUAAUAUUUUGAACCGCAUGGUUCAAAAGUGGAAGACGGUCUUGCUGUCACUUAUAGAUGGAUCCGCGCUGCAUUAGCUAGUUGGUAAGGUAACGGCUUACCAAGGCAACGAUGCAUAGCCGACCUGAGAGGGUGAUCGGCCACACUGGAACUGAGACACGGUCCAGACUCCUACGGGAGGCAGCAGUAGGGAAUCUUCCGCAAUGGGCGAAAGCCUGACGGAGCAACGCCGCGUGAGUGAUGAAGGUCUUCGGAUCGUAAAACUCUGUUAUUAGGGAAGAACAUAUGUGUAAGUAACUGUGCACAUCUUGACGGUACCUAAUCAGAAAGCCACGGCUAACCACGUG